Molecule: long non-coding RNA, 2496 nt
Filed under: Homo sapiens (human)
Lineage: Eukaryota; Metazoa; Chordata; Mammalia; Primates; Hominidae
Description: HSALNT0399960
Source: RNAcentral
CAAGAACAGGCUGGAGGAGGGGUGCCCUUCAUCAUCUUGUGAGCAUCUGGGCCAAGUUCAGGGCUGGUGCUCUCGUUCAGAUAGAUUUAGCUGGUGGUGCAGAGAUCCGUGAGCUUGCUUUUACAGGACUUUAAUGAUAUAUAAAAGCAGCACGAGGUGCUCCUGACUGUGGAUUAAUUUGGAGAUGACUUUCUCUGUUGAAGAGUAGCAAGACUCUCGCGAGUUCUUAAAAAUGCACUUGUUUGGUAUGAGAAUGAAAAGCAGUGGCUGAAGAACCAAUCUUCAAUGGGCAAGCCUUCUCUGUGUCUGUUCUAACACGUGCCAUUUGGGAUCCCUUGGAAUCUUCAUGUACAGAACUGGUUGCUGCCUCGUUGAGUCGGUGGGGACAGAAUAGCUCCUGGUUGACAGCAUGGGUUGUGCAGAAGGACGGAUCCUGCAGACAUCAAUAUCUGGCUUUGAGUGGCACAAAGAAAUAAAGGAAUGUGGAUUCAGACCUCACUGGGAUGCUUGGCAAUUCUAAUUCUACCCCAGACUGCAAAUGGACACACAACUGUUGUGACUUUUGUUGAAGAGGAGAAGGAUGGUGAAGGUCUCUUUAGUCAAUAAUCUCUUUGCUGAAAUUGCUUCGGGCAGCACAGAAGCUGGAUUCAGAAGCACACAGGUCUGGGGAUGCAGGCUUCGGCCAGCCUGAUGCAAGGAAAGACUGCCAUCUCGUGGUCAGCUCAAUCCUGGCACCUUGGUGAGGGACCAGGCUGCAGAAAACCAGGCUUGGGGAGGAAACGGUGCUGCAAACUGGAUUUCUGCCGGACAGUGUGGAUGCCCUUAGAAAACACCCAGAAAAGAGCUGAGUGCCCCCCAAGACUUGCCCUGAAUUCUUUCAUGUGCAAUAUCCGAAAACCCUCUCUUGGGGCCUGGAUCAGGACCCCUUUCCUAUAACAUCUUUCUGGCGACAACAAAGGGACAAUGGUGUGGAAUCCCCCUUCCCAAAUGCUACUUUUAGAUAUCACCUUUUGUCGGAACUUGGAGUUGGUAAUGACCUUCACCAUACCACCACUCUGGGACUGAGCUUCUCUCUACCCUGAUGCAAGAGACCCUAAUAGGCAGGAAUAUGACCACCCCUAUUCAGCCUGAAGAAGUUACAGAAGUUCUGAAACCCUUAGAAAUGAGGGUCUUCUUGUAAAGGGAGUGGGGAGAUAUAUCAGAGGCAUUUGAACCAGAGCAACUCCAUCUUGAGUGAGGGCUAGGAAAAUGAGGCUAGGACUUGCUGGGCUGCAUUCUCAGAAAGUCAGUCAUUCCUAGCCUCUAGAUGUUUACGGUUAAGGGAACAAAUUUAUAACAUUUACUAAACACACCCAGACUUGGGAGUGUCCAGAUAUCCCAAUAUCUGGAGAACAAAGGCAUUCCUAAUUUUGCUUUAAAGACAAUAAUAUUGAUUCUUGCAAAAUAUAGUAAUUAAGAAAAUUAAUCCUUUAUCACAAACCCUUGUAGUAAAACACAUCUCCCCAUAUAUACAAGCAUUGUACCUAAGGUGGAUGCGUUCCAUCUCUUACUUUCAGGAAUGUCCUACACUAUCUAAGGAGUAGCUGUACUUUCACCACUUUACUUUCUUAAUAAACUUGUUUUUACUUUGCACCAAGGACUUGCACUGAAUUCUUUCUUGCGUGAGAUCCAAAAACCCUCUGUUCGGGUCUGGAUUGGGACCCCUUUCCUAUAACAUCCUUCUGGCAACCACAGAAGGGACUAUAGUGUGGAAACUCCCUUCCUAAAUGCUGCUUUUGGGUAAGUGUUGGAGUCCUGUAACAUAUUUCUGGCUGUCACAGAACAGAUUAUAGUGCAGAAACCCUGACCCAAAGGCUACCUUUGAGUAAGUGCUGGGGUCCUGUAAUAAUAUCAAAACCAGGAAAGGACAUAACCAAAAAAGAAAACUACAUUCCAAUAUUCCUGAUGAACAUAGAUGCAAAAAUCCUUAACAAAAUGCUAGCUAACCGAAUCCAACAACAUAUCAAAAAGAUAAUCCAUCAUGAUCAAGUGGGUUUCAUACCAGGGAUGCAGGGAUGGUUUAACAUACAUAAAUCAAUAAAUGUGAUACACCACAUAAACAGAAUUAAAAACAAAAAUCACACGAUCAUCUCAAUAGAUGCAGAAAAGGCAUUCAACAAAACCCAGUAACAUUUAUGAUUAAAACUCUCAGCAAAAUCAGCAUACAAGGGACAUAUAUCAGUAUAAUAAAAGCCAUCUAUGACAAACCCACACCCAACAUAAUACUGAAUAGGGAAAAGUUGAAAGCAUUCCCUCUGAGAACUGGAACAAAAUAAGAAUGCCCACUCUCACCCCUCUUCUUCAACAUAUUACUGGAAGUCCUAGCCAGAGCAAUCAGGCAAGAGGAAGAAAUAAGGGGCAUCCAAAUCAGUAAAAAGGAAGUCAAACUGUCACUGUUUGCCGAUGAUAUGAUUGCUUACCUAGAAAACCCUAAAGACUCCUCUAGAAAGCUCCUAG